CCCCUAGUAACUGCGAGUGAAGUGGGAAAAGCUCAAAUUUAAAAUCUGUCAGUCUUUGGCUGUCCGAGUUGUAAUCUAGAGAAGUGUUAUCCGCGCUGGACCGUGUACAAGUCUCCUGGAAUGGAGCGUCAUAGAGGGUGAGAAUCCCGUCUUUGACACGGACUUCCAGGGCUUUGUGAUGCGCUCUCAAAGAGUCGAGUUGUUUGGGAAUGCAGCUCAAAAUGGGUGGUAAAUUCCAUCUAAAGCUAAAUAUUGGCGAGAGACCGAUAGCGAACAAGUACCGUGAGGGAAAGAUGAAAAGAACUUUGGAAAGAGAGUUAAACAGUACGUGAAAUUGCUGAAAGGGAAACGCUUGAAGUCAGUCGCGUUGUCCAGGGAUCAACCUUGCUUUUGCUUGGUGUACUUUCUGGUUGACGGGUCAGCAUCAAUUUUGACUGUUGGAAAAAAGUCAAGGGAAUGUGGCAUCUUUGGAUGUGUUAUAGCCCUUGGUUGCAUACAAUGGUUGGGAUUGAGGAACUCAGCACGCCGCAAGGCCGGGUACUACUGUACCACGUACGUGCUUAGGAUGCUGGCAUAAUGGCUUUAAUCGACCCGUCUUGAAACACGGACCAAGGAGUCUAACAUACCUGCGAGUGUUUGGGUGGAAAACCCGAGCGCGUAAUGAAAGUAAAAGUUGAGAUCCUUGUCGCGGGGAGCAUCGACGCCCGGACCAGACCUUUUGUGACGGUUCCGCGGUAGAGCAUGUAUGUUGGGACCCGAAAGAUGGUGAACUAUGCCUGAAUAGGGUGAAGCCAGAGGAAACUCUGGUGGAGGCUCGUAGCGAUUCUGACGUGCAAAUCGAUCGUCAAAUUUGGGUAUAGGGGCGAAAGACUAAUCGAACCAUCUAGUAGCUG
RNAcentral lists this ribosomal RNA (893 nucleotides) under Phlegmacium boreicyanites. RNAcentral describes it as "partial large subunit ribosomal RNA". It matches the Rfam family "Eukaryotic large subunit ribosomal RNA", at positions 77 to 953 of the family's 3401-position model. Lineage: Eukaryota; Fungi; Basidiomycota; Agaricomycetes; Agaricales; Cortinariaceae. The record is from RNAcentral.